This 484-nucleotide ribosomal RNA is filed under the name uncultured bacterium. RNAcentral's name for it is "partial 16S ribosomal RNA". It matches the Rfam family "Bacterial small subunit ribosomal RNA", at positions 30 to 507 of the family's 1533-position model. The record is from RNAcentral.
AUUGAACGCUGGCGGCAGGCCUAACACAUACAAGUCGAGCGGAUGAAGGGAGCUUGCUCCUGGAUUCAGCGGCGGACGGGUGAGUAAUGCCUAGGAAUCUGCCUGGUAGUGGGGGAUAACGUCCGGAAACGGGCGCUAAUACCGCAUACGUCCUGAGGGAGAAAGUGGGGGAUCUUCGGACCUCACGCUAUCAGAUGAGCCUAGGUCGGAUUAGCUAGUUGGUGGGGUAAAGGCCUACCAAGGCGACGAUCCGUAACUGGUCUGAGAGGAUGAUCAGUCACACUGGAACUGAGACACGGUCCAGACUCCUACGGGAGGCAGCAGCGGGGAAUAUUGGACAAUGGGCGAAAGCCUGAUCCAGCCAUGCCGCGUGUGUGAAGAAGGUCUUCGGAUUGUAAAGCACUUUAAGUUGGGAGGAAGGGCAGUAAGUUAAUACCUUGCUGUUUUGACGUUACCAACAGAAUAAGCACCGGCUAACUUCGUG